Non-coding RNA from Pelobates cultripes (western spadefoot toad), 209 nucleotides. The record is from the annotation of a GenBank genome assembly. Lineage: Eukaryota; Metazoa; Chordata; Amphibia; Anura; Pelobatidae.
CCUCAGGGACCCCCUCCCGCCCGGCUCUGGAAAGGGGAAAAGGGGUUAAACUUACCUUUUUCCAGCGCUGGGCGGAGAGCUCUCCUCCUUCUCUCCUCCUCUGUUCCUCCUCCUGGGCUGAAUGCGCACGCGCGGCAAGAGCUGCGCGCGCAUUCAGCCCGUCGCAUAGGAAAGCAUUUACAAUGCUUUCCUAUGGACGCUUGCGUGCU